This 491-nucleotide ribosomal RNA is filed under the name uncultured bacterium. Its description in RNAcentral is "partial 16S ribosomal RNA". It matches the Rfam family "Bacterial small subunit ribosomal RNA", at positions 29 to 507 of the family's 1533-position model. The record is from RNAcentral.
GUGAACGCUGGCGGUAGGCCUAACACAUGCAAGUCGAACGGCAGCACAGUAAGAGCUUGCUCUUACGGGUGGCGAGUGGCGGACGGGAGAGGAAUACAUCGGAAUCUACUUUUUCGUGGGGGAUAACGUAGGGAAACUUACGCUAAUACCGCAUACGACCUACGGGUGAAAGCAGGGGAUCUUCGGACCUUGCGCGAUUGAAUGAGCCGAUGUCGGAUUAGCUAGUUGGCGGGGUAAAGGCCCACCAAGGCGACGAUCCGUAGCUGGUCUGAGAGGAUGAUCAGCCACACUGGAACUGAGACACGGUCCAGACUCCUACGGGAGGCAGCAGUGGGGAAUAUUGGACAAUGGGCGCAAGCCUGAUCCAGCCAUACCGCGUGGGUGAAGAAGGCCUUCGGGUUGUAAAGCCCUUUUGUUGGGAAAGAAAAGCAGCAGGUUAAUACCCCGCUGUUCUGACGGUACCCAAAGAAUAAGCACCGGAUAACUUCGUG